Molecule: ribosomal RNA, 468 nt
Filed under: uncultured bacterium
Lineage: Bacteria
Description: partial 16S ribosomal RNA
Rfam family: Bacterial small subunit ribosomal RNA
Source: RNAcentral
GACGAACGCUGGCGGCGUGCUUAACACAUGCAAGUCGAACGGAAAGGCCCUGCUUUUGUGGGGUGCUCGAGUGGCGAACGGGUGAGUAACACGUGAGUAACCUGCCCUUGACUUUGGGAUAACUUCAGGAAACUGGGGCUAAUACCGGAUAGGAGCUCCUUCUUCAUGGUGGGGGUUGGAAAGUUUCUGCGGUUGGGGAUGGACUCGCGGCUUAUCAGCUUGUUGGUGGGGUAGUGGCUUACCAAGGCUUUGACGGGUAGCCGGCCUGAGAGGGUGACCGGCCACAUUGGGACUGAGAUACGGCCCAGACUCCUACGGGAGGCAGCAGUGGGGAAUAUUGCACAAUGGGCGGAAGCCUGAUGCAGCAACGCCGCGUGAGGGAUGACGGACUUCGGGUUGUAAACCGCUUUCGGUUGGGACGAAGCGUGAGUGACGGUAAUGGGUAAAGAAGCACCGGCUAACUACGUG